AUACAGACAGAAUUAAUUUGUGUUCUAGGAAGUGCAAGCCAAGUAACACUGCAGAACUGCUCCCUGGGGAGGACUUUAAGUAAGCCAGCCUUGAUUUUUACAUUUGAUUCUUGAGAACUGAAGGCAGUCAAGGCAGCUAUUUAUAGCGGAUACUGCUCUCUAUCAUACUUUUCUGUAAAAGUGCUGUAGAGAAAGAGAAGGGAAAAUAAUCUUUUAUUUUAUUCAUUUAUUUUUAGGUAAGGAAAAUGGGGGGAAAAAAUUAAAAACGUGGUGCUAAAUCCAAGUUGCUAAUCCAGUCUUCUGCAUAGGAAGGUCAGUUUACAGAAGAACUGGUGUGUUUCUGUUGACAUGAAUAUCCCAAGGAGCUGGUCAGCUCUGCAUCAGUUGGCCACUACAGCAAUAUCUGGCUUACCUCAGGGAAACGGAUAUUCUCCCAGAGAACUCAUCGCAGUUUUUGAAGACUCAUGGGGUGUGAAAAUACUUUGUGUUCCAUCAGCAGAUAAUAUUGGAAAAGAUGGACAGACGGUGGCCCAUGAAGUCACACUCCCUCAGCUCUAGGAUUUAUACAAAAGUGUGUCUCCUCCCACGGUUUGUUUCUGAUAUUGGUUUGUGUAGAUCAUCUUUAUUCCUUAUAUGUGUGUUGCAGAAGUCUGUGUAUGUUUUAAAAAAUAAUUUUUCUGUUUGGGUGAGACUCGACAAAGUGGGUGCCACUGAAGCAUAUUUGUGUAUCUCAGUGUAGUCCCAUCUCCUCUGAUACUGUUUCUUCUGUGCUGUAUUACUGCUGUUACUUCGAAACAAAACACAGCUGUUAAAGAAAAAGUGCAAAGAAAACUAUCAAAAAGGGACAGCGACUGCCUCAGAAUUGGCACAUUGAUUGAAGUAAACACCAGAAGCAUUGCCACUCGUGUUUCAAGAAGUGUAACAUAAAUAAUACACCCAUUAAUUGAAAUGCAUACAAUAUGGCUGUUCUUGAUUCAAGUGAGAAGCAUGAAAUGCAUUUAUUUUUAUGAAGAGUAAAACAGACUUUGCCAACCGUACACAACAGGGUGGGCAUCCCGCUAGCUCAAGUUCUGCCAGCCCACAGCCGGACCUAUUAGCAAAAAUGAAGUGACUUAAUACCCCGGGGCGUGAUUUACCUGUUUAAGAACUAUAUUGUUGCAAUAAAGAAAAAGUAAACCAAACCCAGGGGCUUCUUUCUCUGAUUUCUGUGGCCGUCGGACAGUAGGUUAUAUGUAGCUUUUCAUUUCGUUAUUUGUGUUUCUUUCUCCUUUAAUUGGGCUGUGAUACGUGAGGGUUUUCGGGUGCAGGCAACGUAUUAUUUUCUAUGUCAGGAAUGUAUCAAGUUGCUACCUGUGUGCCGAACCAUGCCUGAAAAAAAAAUGUAAUGGAUUAUAAGAAAAUGUGAAGAAAAAUAAAAAGAGAAAUGGAAAGAAAUGAAAUAAAUUGAAACAGAGUAAUAAAAUAAUAGAUAACAAAGAUAAAUAAAGUAAAACAAAACAAAAUCCGGCAGCGUCAAGUCGCUGCUGCAACGUCCUCGGGGCCUCAUGGAAGGCUACGUGCUCCGUGCAUGAGACCCCGGGCGACCUCGGCACGAGUGGGAGCUCCGUAACGGCGGCGUUGGGGCCGGAGAGCGGCCCCGCGGCUCAGAGAGGGCGAAGAAGGGGAAGCAGAGGCCGGCAGGGGCUGCACGGUGCGUCCCUCGGUGCGGGGCUGCCCCCGGCCGCCGCUGACAGCGUCCCGGGGCUUCCACCCGGCUGCGGGUACCUGCGCUGCUUCCACGCGACUCCUGCGUUCACUCUUCUAUGGGGGGAAUUCCGGGUCGGAAACGAGUGGAACGGGAGUUUCCUACCGCCGGGAGGGAUGGGUGGGCAGGAGGCAGAGCCGGGGAAAUGGAAAGGCGACCGGCCAGCGAAGAACAGGGAAGGCGUUCUGAUGCAGCCCCGCAGCUCCUUCCCGAGGUUGAGACCUGCCCCGCACGGACGCUGCCGAGAGGUUCCCGUCCACUGGAAAUAAUCAAACAAGACCCUACAAGUUGAACCGAAGAGCUGCCUCUUCCAGAGGAAAUUGAGCUCUUACGCAGGAGCGGAUUGAAGUAGCUCUUCCCCAUCCGCCCCUUGAAGUCAGACCGAACCCUCUCGCCUAUUCCAUCUCCUCUCCCACGCGUGGGGCCGUGGCUCCCACUUCGUGCGGAGUCUCCGCGCGAUGCCGGCCCUGGUCCCAUCCCACGGGCACGGAAGAAAAGCGUUCUAACGGCUGGAAUGGCAGAAGUCUUUCUCCCUGUGUCCUCCAUCCCCGCAGAGCCCUGCUCUCCCCUCCUCUCGGGGGCUGCGGAAGGACACGGUCCCGUCGUGCCGUAUUCCCCGCGCAUCCCUCGCAGCGCUGAGCCCCGGACAGACGGGAAGCACCGCACCGCCGCGCUCCUCCGCUCCGCACACGGGAGGUUUCCGGCCGCCGGGGCUGGGGGGGGAUUUCCAGGAGCGGCUGACAGCGCCUGAAGCGCGCUGAUCCAUCUGUGCAACGAGCUGAAACGCUCUCUUCUAGGAAGAUAACAGACCGCCUGCCCGAGUCUCACCUUCGGGGGCAACGUUAGGAGCACGAAGCCGCGGCCGGACAACAGGAGGCGCUGCGGCUUUGCACAACCUCGGCCUCCGCGCACGGCGCGGCACUGCUCAGCACGGCGCUGCCAGCGCGACUCAGCGUGUG
Gallus gallus (chicken) is the source of this 2703-nucleotide long non-coding RNA. The record is from Ensembl. NCBI's taxonomy places the organism in Eukaryota, Metazoa, Chordata, Aves, Galliformes, Phasianidae.